Molecule: long non-coding RNA, 1075 nt
Organism: Arachis duranensis
Lineage: Eukaryota; Viridiplantae; Streptophyta; Magnoliopsida; Fabales; Fabaceae
Exons: 2
Source: RefSeq, a predicted model, not a curated record
UAUGAUAGAUACGAAAUAGAUUUGUGUGAAGCUUCUUUGUACUAGAGAGUAGAGACAAAGCGAUGCAAUGUUGAACAAAAGUAAGUAUUAACGCUCUCCAACUUAGGCUACCAUGAAUACAUUUAUACACAAAUGAAAUAUAGAUAGAAUGCUCCAGUUCUGCUUUAGCCUCAAAUUAAAGGUUACGUUGCUGAGCCACAGAAUACUCCCUAGCCCUUCAUCGCCGUCGCCAUUCCCGGAUCCUCAGCGCCGCUGCCGCCCCAGGUCCUCAGCGCUGCCGCUUCUUCCUCUUUCCCGUGUCCGGAACCCAGUAGAUCGGCACGUCGCCUUCAUCUUCGCCGGCUUCUUAGUGGCUUCUCGUCUUCAUCUUCAGUUCUUCACUAAAUGUUUAGUCUUGUUCUUGGUUUGAACUUUGAAGCUCUGAAGUAGUUGUUCUUCGAUCUUCUUCUUUAGCCUUCUUCAAUUUUUGUUCCGUUUUUCUUCAAUUCUUCUUCUUCGGUCUUGGGUUGAAAAGUUUGGUUCAGAAUGUAUUUGUUGAUGGAUCUGUAAUUAACUAAUUACCCAGUUGCUGGUUUUGCUUUGAUUUGUAGUUGCUGGCUUCUAAUUAUUGCUGAUUUUGCUGGCUUUGUUCGUUGCUGAAUGUUGGUGGCAGAAUUUAGAUAUGGUCAUGUUGAUAAUUUUUUUUAUUUUUCAUUUUGUUGUGGCUGGUCUUUAAUUUUGUUUUAAUUAAUAAAACUUUUAUUAAUUUCAAUUAUGGAUAAUAGUAUUAAUCAAGAAGUAACUGCUGAUAAUAAUGCAUCUGUGAAUAGUAAUUUAUCUGUCAAUCCUCCUAUUUCGAAUGAUGCUGCAAAUCCUAAUCCUAAUCCACCGAAGCAAAUUUACAACAAGUUCUUGCAGAUUUUGAUGAUUGAUAGAUCAUGAUGUUGGGAUAUAAUAUUUAGAUAUGUUUUUUUACUAUUUAAUUUUUGAGUUUGUAUUUUGAUAAGAUCAUAUGGAUUUGGUUGAUGAUAUUUUAUGUAGUGUUUUAAAUUUCGAAGAUAUUUUAAGAUUUAUAUUAGACUAUAAUUAUAUUUUA